This 724-nucleotide ribosomal RNA is filed under the name uncultured bacterium. Its description in RNAcentral is "bacterial SSU rRNA". It matches the Rfam family "Bacterial small subunit ribosomal RNA", at positions 57 to 773 of the family's 1533-position model. The record is from RNAcentral.
GCAGUCGAGGGGCAGCAUGGUCUUAGCUUGCUAAGGCCGAUGGCGACCGGCGCACGGGUGAGUAACACGUAUCCAACCUGCCGUCUACUCUUGGACAGCCUUCUGAAAGGAAGAUUAAUACAAGAUGGCAUCAUGAGUUCACAUGUUCACAUGAUUAAAGGUAUUCCGGUAGACGAUGGGGAUGCGUUCCAUUAGAUAGUAGGCGGGGUAACGGCCCACCUAGUCUUCGAUGGAUAGGGGUUCUGAGAGGAAGGUCCCCCACAUUGGAACUGAGACACGGUCCAAACUCCUACGGGAGGCAGCAGUGAGGAAUAUUGGUCAAUGGGCGCAGGCCUGAACCAGCCAAGUAGCGUGAAGGAUGACUGCCCUAUGGGUUGUAAACCUCUUUUAUAAAGGAAUAAAGUCGGGUAUGUAUACCCGUUUGCAUGUACUUUAUGAAUAAGGAUCGGCUAACUCCGUGCCAGCAGCCGCGGUAAUACGGAGGAUCCGAGCGUUAUCCGGAUUUAUUGGGUUUAAAGGGAGCGUAGAUGGAUGUUUAAGUCAGUUGUGAAAGUUUGCGGCUCAACCGUAAAAUUGCAGUUGAUACUGGAUAUCUUGAGUGCAGUUGAGGCAGGCGGAAUUCGUGGUGUAGCGGUGAAAUGCUUAGAUAUCACGAAGAACUCCGAUUGCGAAGGCAGCCUGCUAAGCUGCACUGACUUGAGGCUCGAAAGUGUGGGUAUCAACA